Molecule: ribosomal RNA, 497 nt
Filed under: uncultured bacterium
Lineage: Bacteria
Description: partial 16S ribosomal RNA
Rfam family: Bacterial small subunit ribosomal RNA
Source: RNAcentral
GAUGAACGCUGGCGGCGUGCCUAAUACAUGCAAGUCGAGCGAACAGAUGAGGAGCUUGCUCCUCUGACGUUAGCGGCGGACGGGUGAGUAACACGUGGAUAACCUACCUAUAAGACUUGGAUAACUUCGGGAAACCGGAGCUAAUACCGGAUAAUAUAUUGAACCGCAUGGUUCAAUAGUGAAAGACGGUUUUGCUGUCACUUAUAGAUGGAUCCGCGCCGCAUUAGCUAGUUGGUAAGGUAACGGCUUACCAAGGCAACGAUGCGUAGCCGACCUGAGAGGGGGAGGGCACACAAGAGAAGGGAGACGAGGCACAGAAGCCAGCGGAGGGAGGCAGGAGGGAGGUUCAGGAAAGGGGGGAAGCCAGGAGGAAGAAACGACGCGGGGGGGAGGAGGGGUUUCGUAGGGAAAAAAUCUUUUUUUGGGAAAGAAAAAUGGUGAAAGAAAGUGUGCAUGUGUUGACGGUACCUAAUCAAAAAGCCACGGCUAACUACGUG